GGCCCCAUCGUCUAGUGGUUAGGACAAGAGAUUUUCAAUCUUUAAACAGGGGUUCGAUUCCCCUUGGGGCUACCA
This 75-nucleotide transfer RNA is filed under the name bacterium ADurb.Bin212. Its description in RNAcentral is "tRNA-Glu". It matches the Rfam family "tRNA". Rfam says of the family: Transfer RNA (tRNA) molecules are approximately 80 nucleotides in length. The record is from RNAcentral.